Molecule: microRNA, 22 nt
Filed under: Triops cancriformis
Lineage: Eukaryota; Metazoa; Arthropoda; Branchiopoda; Notostraca; Triopsidae
Description: tcf-miR-10312
Source: miRBase by way of RNAcentral
CAUUCUUGUAGCAGUAUCACCU